UGUGUGCUGUGAUGACUUGUACAAGGAUGGUGUCUGAGUGAGUUGGAUUCGCUUUCCUUGCUUGUUUACAUCCAAAACUGAAUAGUCUCUCAGCAAAAC
This 99-nucleotide small nucleolar RNA is filed under the name Setaria italica (foxtail millet). RNAcentral describes it as "snoRNA snoZ118". It matches the Rfam family "Small nucleolar RNA Z118/Z121/Z120". Rfam says of the family: This family consists of several snoRNA Z118, Z121 and Z120 sequences which are members of the C/D class of snoRNA which contain the C (UGAUGA) and D (CUGA) box motifs. Lineage: Eukaryota; Viridiplantae; Streptophyta; Magnoliopsida; Poales; Poaceae. RNAcentral also lists the same sequence under 1 other name. The record is from Rfam by way of RNAcentral.